RNAcentral lists this unclassified non-coding RNA (212 nucleotides) under plant metagenome. RNAcentral describes it as "partial contains small subunit ribosomal RNA, internal transcribed spacer 1, and 5.8S ribosomal RNA". The record is from RNAcentral.
UUUCCGUAGGUGAACCUGCGGAAGGAUCCUUCAUAAUAAGUGUUUUAUGGCACUUUUUAAAUCCAUAUCCACCUUGUGUGCAAUGUCAGGGUUGAUUUUUCUCUCGAGAGGAUCAGCCCCAAACAUCAACUAUAUCUCAACUCUUUGUCUGAAAAAUAUUAUGAAUAAAACAAUUCAAAAUACAACUUUCAACAACGGAUCUCUUGGCUCUC